AAGAUUAAGCCAUGCAUGUCUAAGUAUAAGCACUAUACUGUGAAACUGCGAAUGGCUCAUUAAAUCAGUUAUCGUUUAUUUGAUAGUACCUUACUACUUGGAUAACCGUGGUAAUUCUAGAGCUAAUACAUGCUAAAAACCUCGACUUCGGAAGGGGUGUAUUUAUUAGAUAAAAACCAAUGCCCUUCGGGGCUCCUUGGUGAUUCAUAAUAACUUAUCGAAUCGCAU
Molecule: ribosomal RNA, 228 nt
Filed under: uncultured fungus
Lineage: Eukaryota; Fungi
Description: partial 18S ribosomal RNA
Rfam family: Eukaryotic small subunit ribosomal RNA
Source: RNAcentral